GAACCAUAGAACUAGAACACUAACGGGAACGCCCACUCGGUGACGUAUAACGGUGAUGACAUAAUUAUGUUGUACAUCGCAUGCGCGAAGUCAAUAAGGCACAAGUAACUUCCGGCCGUAUGUCAACAUGGCAGAAGCGUACGACGUCCUGGAAUUUCAAGAACUUGACGGUGUAAUAGAUCUUUUCUUUGCUAAAGAUUUGUUUGAGACAUCUCAACCUGUCGUUCCAGUAGCAUCCGCGGAACAUCCGAACAAAACACAAUUCGCGCCAGGCAUUUUGUUAGUGCGAGCAGAAACCGGAAGUAAGCUGUGCCCGAUAUCAGCGUCAGAGGCCCGCCGUCACAUAAGGUAGUGACGUCACACGGUGGGCGUUCCCGUUAGUAUUCUAGU
Molecule: long non-coding RNA, 390 nt
Organism: Patella vulgata (common limpet)
Lineage: Eukaryota; Metazoa; Mollusca; Gastropoda; Patellidae
Exons: 3
Source: RefSeq, a predicted model, not a curated record